This is a non-coding RNA of Parelaphostrongylus tenuis, 72 nucleotides long. The record is from the annotation of a GenBank genome assembly. Lineage: Eukaryota; Metazoa; Nematoda; Chromadorea; Rhabditida; Metastrongylidae.
GACUGAGUGGUGUAGUGGUAGCACGCGUCCCCGGUAUGGAUGAAGUGCGGGUUCAACUCCCGCUCGAGGUCU